GGUAUCAAAAUCUUGGUUGAUAUUGCCAUCAUUCUCAACUUCAUCCAAUCUUCUCAUUUGAUUCCUUGUAAGCUUCGUAUAGCGUGGAAUAAUUGCUUGCACUACAUUUCCCAGAUGCAAUUCCGAUCUUCAUAUAUUUUCUAAAAAGGCGUUUAUUCUCUCCACAAAUAGAAGAAGACCGCUACACAUUGCUGCAAUGCGUCGUACUAGUACUUAUAUAUAUAACUGAAGCAAGAUUCUAGAGAUCUCAGUCUAGCUAUAAAGUAUAUAUACAAGAACCAACCAUAAGAGCUCAGGAAGAUCUAUAAUUAUACAAGUAAUUAAACCCAGUUAAUUAGGGUUUUGGGGCAGAAGAACUGAAGAAGAGUACGUAGACGGUCUCCCUCUCGAUCAGGGGUCAAAGCUAUUGUGCACAGUUCGCCUCCAGGAAGGUAGUGAAUAAUCUUCAGUAGUACUCGACCACAUUGGCGUUGGAGUUGGAGGCAACGUACUAGCAACUAGUCACAGCAGCUGAAACUAUGCACACGUGUUGGUAAGCGGUAAACCAGGAGAUCGAUCAGCUAAUUAAGCUCUAUAUACAUGCAUGGUAUCAUUACAGACAGAGAAAUCGAUGAGACAGGGGAAUUGUACGUACAGUGUCUGCCUGCAGAAAAAUGUAGUAGCACUGUAGCUUCAGGUGUCUCAAGUUGAUAGAGAGAGAGGUGGUCAGGCAGAAUAUCGAUAUCGCAGUCAUAAUCAUCUUAAGCACCACACGCACCGUUUUAUGUCAUUCAUUUCCGGAUCCUUCAGGUUAGCUCUCUUCAAGCAUAUAUAUAGAAUAGUAAAACACGAUACUCUCUCUCUCUCUCUCUCUCAACUGAUAGGUGAAUGUUCCAACUGACAUGGAAAUCUUAAAAGGUCGAAGAAUAUUGUAGGUCUAUUGAUGUGCGUAACACAUGCAUUUGGUUUCUUUUUGUUCUCUCUCUAUAGCUAUAGCUCGAUCAUUAUAGAUAUGUUGUGACGUAAGUUGCACUACUACAAAUUUCCCCAAUAGCACCUUUUUAUUAGCCACCACAAACCAAUCAGUCCCCAAAGUGAACAGUGAUACACUUAUCUGAAAAAUUGGUGUGUAUUUUUUAAUUUUUUUUGCUCUCACUGAUCAUCAGUGGGUAAUAUGAACAGUACAGAUAACAUAUUAUUAGUUUAAUGACAAUAGUGGCUCUAUCAUUGCCGAUCCGUGGGUAUUAUGACCCGUGCAUGCAGAUUAAAGGACAAUAGUGACUUUUAUCGGUGGUAAAUAAAUGCGUUGGGAUUAAAUAUUAAUGGCUUAUUUUGAUUUUGCAAAAACGUGAGUAGAGAGAGAAGUAUAUCUAGAUCUAGAUCUAUCUCUGUCCACUCUUUCUUCUCUGCCUUGUCGCCCUCUAUUUCUUCUCUUCGUCAAUCCUCUCAAUUUUCUUUUCGUCAUCGAGAAUUCGAGAUCGCCAAGCAAUGGAACAAGAUCAUGAAGACCAGAUCAAUGGCUAAGGAAGAGAUUGUCAGCAGUCACCUUUGAAAUUCAAAACAUUGAUUUUGCUUUCUGAAAACCCGAAAGUUCAAAACAUUACUAUGCCGCAGCAGAGAGUCUCGCAUCUCCAA
Molecule: long non-coding RNA, 1614 nt
Organism: Rosa chinensis
Lineage: Eukaryota; Viridiplantae; Streptophyta; Magnoliopsida; Rosales; Rosaceae
Exons: 3
Source: RefSeq, a predicted model, not a curated record